RNAcentral lists this ribosomal RNA (488 nucleotides) under Streptomyces mauvecolor. Its description in RNAcentral is "bacterial SSU rRNA". It matches the Rfam family "Bacterial small subunit ribosomal RNA", at positions 509 to 994 of the family's 1533-position model. The record is from RNAcentral. Lineage: Bacteria; Bacillati; Actinomycetota; Actinomycetes; Kitasatosporales; Streptomycetaceae.
CAGCAGCCGCGGUAAUACGUAGGGCGCAAGCGUUGUCCGGAAUUAUUGGGCGUAAAGAGCUCGUAGGCGGCUUGUCACGUCGGAUGUGAAAGCCCGGGGCUUAACCCCGGGUCUGCAUUCGAUACGGGCUAGCUAGAGUGUGGUAGGGGAGAUCGGAAUUCCUGGUGUAGCGGUGAAAUGCGCAGAUAUCAGGAGGAACACCGGUGGCGAAGGCGGAUCUCUGGGCCAUUACUGACGCUGAGGAGCGAAAGCGUGGGGAGCGAACAGGAUUAGAUACCCUGGUAGUCCACGCCGUAAACGUUGGGAACUAGGUGUUGGCGACAUUCCACGUCGUCGGUGCCGCAGCUAACGCAUUAAGUUCCCCGCCUGGGGAGUACGGCCGCAAGGCUAAAACUCAAAGGAAUUGACGGGGGCCCGCACAAGCAGCGGAGCAUGUGGCUUAAUUCGACGCAACGCGAAGAACCUUACCAAGGCUUGACAUAUACCGG